UUUAUUUUCACAAGUCUUUACAAACAAGUAGAACAUAAUCUCCUGCUCUUUUCCACUAUCAGAGGGGAGAAUAAAUCAAUACUUCAAGUACUUUUCAGUUCUUCAGAUUAGUUUCCUGGACUCUUCUGGGAAUGGGGCAUAAAACAAUUCUGGUAUCCAUAGAACAGCAGCAUGCAUGCUGACCACCCAUGAUGAAAUGGUUUCUAAUUCUACAGCCUGGAAAAACUCUACUUACCACAUUCGUUUGAGGCACAACUGAUUUUAUCUGAUGGGCAAUUAACUUAUCAUUAGAUUUUCAGCAACAACAUGGUAAAAGCAGGCAAGUAGACUUUGUGCCUAGGCUAGUAAACAUUCAUGAUGAUUUUGCAGGCAUGCUCCAGCAGCAUUACACAGUAACAAUGAGACCAGUUCACAAGGCAGGUUUAUUCCUUUCUGCAGAUCCAGCACGCACUCACUCUUAGCAGUGUGGGGUGGGGCAUUGCUUGCAUUCCCCAAAUUAUUUUCUUAUCAUAUAUAUCUCUUUCACAGAAUCUCCUCAGACCUGCAAGAGAUGGAGAGCCUUACUCUGAGUUUCAGUGAUUUCAGAGUCUGACAUUACAGUCUCUCUUCAAGUGAGCUGCCCUGCACCUUGAACAUACACUGCUGCAGUGCCUAGACCUGUCAGAGCCAUUUCAGUGCUGGCAGCAAACAAUAAUGAGCCCAGAUGUUGGCUCCUCUUUUCAAGAGCAGGCUCUUCCCAAGAAGCAACCAAGAAAUCAAAUGUGUCUAAGCUUAGGGAUGUACAGAAGAAAUGGGGGCACUUCCUGGACAGAUACUUUUGUCCCCAAAGUACUCAAUUCAAGGAAAGCUGCUGUGUAAUACAGAAGAUAAUUCUCUAUGCUGCACAGAAUAGUGAGGUCAUUACACUAAACUACACAGAGGAGCAAACUCUAAAAAGAUUAAGAGAAACAUACUACUAUACUAGGCACUUUACAAGUGUGACAGAGAAAUGUUAAUGUCUUAAAUAUAACUAAAUAGAAUAAUUCACAAUCAAAUGGGAAGCCACCAUCUUCACAGUAUGAUGAUAUAGAGCAGGACUUGGGAACAUAAAUCCCAGAUGUAUUCAUAAAAGAGAAGAAGACUUUUUAAGUCCUUCAAAGUUAAAGUAUCUUUUAAAAAAAUUGGUCUCAAUCACUGUAAAUUAACCUUCCCCUCUUCACAAAAAUAUAGAAUGCACAUUGCAUUAUCUGUGAAAGGUUUAAUAAAAGUUGUGUGGGACUAUUAUACCCCUUCA
RNAcentral lists this long non-coding RNA (1273 nucleotides) under Chrysemys picta bellii (western painted turtle). RNAcentral's name for it is "lncRNA (ENSCPBG00000011303.1)". Lineage: Eukaryota; Metazoa; Chordata; Testudines; Emydidae. The record is from RNAcentral.